AGAGUUUGAUCAUGGCUCCCGAUGAACGUUGGCGGUGUGCCUAAUACUUGCCAGUCGAAGGGGAUAAAUAGCAAUAUUGACUUACCGGCGAACGGGUGACUAACCCGCUUGUGAUCUGCCUCGCCACUGUGGAAUAGCGUUCCGAUAGGAACGCUCAUACCUGAUGCGCUCUCGCGUUUUACAAACUUGAUAGUAAAGGAUUUAUUCGCUUCCAGACGAACCUGCGUCCCAUCAUCUAGUUGGCAAGGCAAUAAGCUGCCAAGGCUUAGACGGAUCGGGGACCUGAUAGGGUGGCCCCCCACGAUGGAACUGAAACACGGUCCAUACAGCUAUGGGUGGCAGCAGUAUGGAAUAUUAGAAAUGGACGAUCGGCUGAUCUAGCUGACACCGCGUGUGCGACGAAUGCCUUCGGGUUGUACAGCACUUCUUUGGAAGGAAUAGGAACGAAGGUACUUCCAGAAUAAGUCUCGGCUAGCUACGUGCCAGCACCCGCGGGAACACGUACGAGGCAAACGUUAUCCGGAUUUACUGCGCGUAAAGCGCGUGUAGGCUGGUCAGUAAAGAAGGCGUGAAAGCUCCCGGCUCAACUGGGGAGAGGCCGCUCUAAAAUGCAGAACUACAGGAUGGCAAAAGGGGGGGUGGCAAUCC
This 648-nucleotide ribosomal RNA is filed under the name uncultured bacterium. RNAcentral describes it as "bacterial SSU rRNA". It matches the Rfam family "Bacterial small subunit ribosomal RNA", at positions 8 to 669 of the family's 1533-position model. The record is from RNAcentral.